GUACUUUCGUGCCGCAAUGGUUUUGUUUUCAUUUUGGAAAUGAAUUAAAAGGGAAUCCAGUGUAAAUCUGGAACAGUACCCGCUGCUGUAAGUUUUUAAAAAGAUUAUAACUAAAUGCCACUGUUUUUAUCUAAAAAGUAAAAUGGGAAGGCGUUAUAAUUAAAACAAGUCAGAAGACCUGCCUUUGUAUUGAUUCGCGG
Molecule: non-coding RNA, 200 nt
Filed under: Flavobacterium columnare
Lineage: Bacteria; Pseudomonadati; Bacteroidota; Flavobacteriia; Flavobacteriales; Flavobacteriaceae
Also listed under: 1 other name
Source: RNAcentral